GAUGAACGCUGGCGGCGUGUCUAAUACAUGCAAGUCGAGCGAACAGAUGAGGAGCUUGCUCCUCUGACGUUAGCGGCGGACGGGUGAGUAACACGUGGAUAACCUACCUAUAAGACUGGGAUAACUUCGGGAAACCGGAGCUAAUACCGGAUAAUAUAUUGAACCGCAUGGUUCAAUAGUGAAAGACGGUUUUGCUGUCACUUAUAGAUGGAUCCGCGCCGCAUUAGCUAGUUGGUAAGGUAACGGCUUACCAAGGCAACGAUGCGUAGCCGACCUGAGAGGGUGAUCGGCCACACUGGAACUGAGACACGGUCCAGGCUCCUACGGGAGGCAGCAGUAGGGAAGCUGCCGCAAUGGGCGAAAGCCUGACGGAGCAACGCCGCGUGAGUGAUGAAGGUCUUCGGAUCGUAAAACUCUGUUAUUAGGGAAGAACAAAUGUGUAAGUAACUAUGCACGUCUGGACGGUACCUAAUCAGAAAGCCACGGCUAACUACGU
RNAcentral lists this ribosomal RNA (496 nucleotides) under uncultured bacterium. Its description in RNAcentral is "partial 16S ribosomal RNA". It matches the Rfam family "Bacterial small subunit ribosomal RNA", at positions 28 to 506 of the family's 1533-position model. The record is from RNAcentral.